AUCAUGCUCCGCGGCGCACGUCCAGAGCUUUUCCAGCCAGGACUUCAUCUCCCAUCAUGCCCCGCGCCCCACCGAGAGCCAUUGCAGCUGCGCUUUGAACUCCCGUGAUGCUCCCCGGCCCCGUUAAACUGUAUUAGACCCGCGCCUACAACUCUCAUCACCCCCCGCGCCCCAGAGAGCCUAAUCAGAGCCCCCAAGGGCCCACCUGGACCCCGCAGGGCCCCAAAUUCUCCUCCGUGACUUCCAAGGGCCCCCCUGGGCCCCCAAGUGCUGCCCCGGACCCCGAACUGUCCCUCGGAAUCCCUGAGUGCCCCUCCAAGUGCCCACCCGGCUCCCCCAAGUGUCCUCCAGACCCUCAAGUUCUCUCUGAAUUCCCUCCCCAGACCCAGAACUGCCCCAAAUGUGCCCCAGAAAGUUCUCCCUGGACCCCAAAGUGGUCCCUUUUACCCUGUCUGUGAAAAUGAUAAAAAAGAUGACAAAAAGAUUGAAAAUGGGACUAAUUAGCAUAAAGAAGGAGAAAUCAACAGCCACACUGGUCAAUGAAUUAAUGAAGGGAAUUGUGUUCCUUAGAACCAAUUACCAAUAAAUUUUUUGCUUGCUAAAAAGCUUUGGAAUAUAUAUAUUGGAAAUAUGCUUAUCUCACGCCUUAUUGAAGCAGAGAAAAACAGUUUGAGAAAGGAAGAUGAACAUCACAUCAAGGAUUUAUAGUUUCAACCAAAGGGAAGCUGGACAUCACUGUUAUGAGAUUUAUAGUCUCUGCAAUUAAAAGGUGGACCCACAUCUGGGGAGCUGGACUCCACCAGAUGGGAUUCGUCUUUCUUCUUUUGGAAACCGGACCAGCACCAUCUGGGGAUACUCCUUUGAAAAUACAUCCUGAGAAAUUAAAAUCACAAUAGUGUAUAGAAUUGUGAUGUAAUAAUUUGGAAUAAAAUUUGCUGAUGAGUAAAAAUUGGAAAUAGAAACUGCUGAAAAAAACUGAUGAGUACCCCUAUAAAUACCUGUAACCCUCAAGUAUCGGUGUGCAGUUGGAGGGAACACUUCCCCCACUGUACCCAGCGCUGUAUUGCUCAUACUUUACCAGAUUAAAUAAUAAAUUGAUUGCUGCUUGAAUA
Non-coding RNA from Agelaius phoeniceus (red-winged blackbird), 1112 nucleotides. The record is from RefSeq and is a predicted model, not a curated record. NCBI's taxonomy places the organism in Eukaryota, Metazoa, Chordata, Aves, Passeriformes, Icteridae.